RNAcentral lists this ribosomal RNA (461 nucleotides) under uncultured bacterium. RNAcentral describes it as "bacterial SSU rRNA". It matches the Rfam family "Bacterial small subunit ribosomal RNA", at positions 28 to 507 of the family's 1533-position model. The record is from RNAcentral.
GACGAACGCUGGCGGCGUGCCUAACACAUGCAAGUCGAACGGAGUUGACCUUCGGGUUAACUUAGUGGCGAACGGGUGAGUAACGCGUGAGAAACCUGCCUUUCAGUGGGGGACAACAGUUGGAAACGACUGCUAAUACCGCAUAAUGUAUUUUAGGGGCAUCCCUUUAAUACCAAAGAUUUAUUGCUGAAAGAUGGUCUCGCGUCUGAUUAGCUAGUUGGUGAGGUAACGGCUCACCAAGGCGACGAUCAGUAGCCGGUCUGAGAGGAUGAACGGCCACAUUGGGACUGAGAUACGGCCCAGACUCCUACGGGAGGCAGCAGUGGGGAAUAUUGGGCAAUGGGGGGAACCCUGACCGAGCAAUGCCGCGUGAAGGAUGAAGGUUUUAGGAUUGUAAACUUCUGUCAACAGGGACGAAGAAAGUGACGGUACCUGUGGAGGAAGCCACGGCUAACUACGUG